RNAcentral lists this long non-coding RNA (215 nucleotides) under Panax ginseng (ginseng). Its description in RNAcentral is "long non-coding RNA (PGIN_LNC005909)". Lineage: Eukaryota; Viridiplantae; Streptophyta; Magnoliopsida; Apiales; Araliaceae. The record is from RNAcentral.
UUUUAUAUUCCAAAAAUAUUAAAUAUUUAUGAAAUAUACUCAAAAUAAUUAAAAACUAUUUUUCGGACUUUAAAAUAAUUUUUCAGAAUUUAUUUGGUAUUUUUAAUAAUUAAAAUCUAAUUUUUCUAAUUUUUAAAUUAAUUUUCGGAAAAUAAUAAUAAUAACCGUCGCUAAAGGCCCCUGUAGCGACAGAACCGUCGCUAUAGGUGUUCUUC